GACGAACGCUGGCGGCGUGCUUAACACAUGCAAGUCGAACGGAAAGGCCCUGCUUUUGUGGGGUGCUCGAGUGGCGAACGGGUGAGUAACACGUGAGUAACCUGCCCUUGACUUUGGGAUAACUUCAGGAAACUGGGGCUAAUACCGGAUAGGAGCUCCUGCUGCAUGGUGGGGGUUGGAAAGUUUCGGCGGUUGGGGAUGGACUCGCGGCUUAUCAGCUUGUUGGUGGGGUAGUGGCUUACCAAGGCUUUGACGGGUAGCCGGCCUGAGAGGGUGACCGGCCACAUUGGGACUGAGAUACGGCCCAGACUCCUACGGGAGGCAGCAGUGGGGAAUAUUGCACAAUGGGCGGAAGCCUGAUGCAGCAACGCCGCGUGCGGGAUGACGGCCUUCGGGUUGUAAACCGCUUUCGCCUGUGACGAAGCGUGAGUGACGGUAAUGGGUAAAGAAGCACCGGCUAACUACGUGCCAGCAGCCGCGGUGAUACGUAGGGUGCGAGCGUUGUCCGGAUUUAUUGGGCGUAAAGGGCUCGUAGGUGGUUGAUCGCGUCGGAAGUGUAAUCUUGGGGCUUAACCCUGAGCGUGCUUUCGAUACGGGUUGACUUGAGGAAGGUAGGGGAGAAUGGAAUUCCUGGUGGAGCGGUGGAAUGCGCAGAUAUCAGGAGGAACACCAGUGGCGAAGGCGGUUCUCUGGGCCUUUCCUGACGCUGAGGAGCGAAAGCGUGGGGAGCGAACAGGCUUAGAUACCCUGGUAGUCCACGCUGUAAACGGUGGGUACUAGGUGUGGGGUCCAUUCCACGGGUUCCGUGCCGUAGCUAACGCUUUAAGUACCCCGCCUGGGGAGUACGGCCGCAAGGCUAAAACUCAAAGGAAUUGACGGGGCCCCGCACAAGCGGCGGAGCAUGCGGAUUAAUUCGAUGCAACGCGUAGAACCUUACCUGGGUUUGACAUGGAUCGGGAGUGCUCAGAGAUGGGUGUGCCUCUUUUGGGGUCGGUUCACAGGUGGUGCAUGGCUGUCGUCAGCUCGUGUCGUGAGAUGUUGGGUUAAGUCCCGCAACGAGCGCAACCCUUGUUCACUGUUGCCAGCACGUUAUGGUGGGGACUCAGUGGAGACCGCCGGGGUCAACUCGGAGGAAGGUGGGGAUGACGUCAAGUCAUCAUGCCCCUUAUGUCCAGGGCUUCACGCAUGCUACAAUGGCUGGUACAGAGAGUGGCGAGCCUGUGAGGGUGAGCGAAUCUCGGAAAGCCGGUCUCAGUUCGGAUUGGGGUCUGCAGCUCGACCUCAUGAAGUCGGAGUCGCUAGUAAUCGCAGAUCAGCAACGCUGCGGUGAAUAAAUUCCCGGG
This 1343-nucleotide ribosomal RNA is filed under the name uncultured bacterium. Its description in RNAcentral is "16S ribosomal RNA". It matches the Rfam family "Bacterial small subunit ribosomal RNA", at positions 28 to 1378 of the family's 1533-position model. The record is from RNAcentral.